GGAUAACCUGCCCUUGGGUCCGGCAUAACCCCGGGAAACUGGGGAUAAUACCGGAUAACGCACAUAUGCUGGAAUGCUUUAUGCGUAAAAUGGGUUCGUCUGCCCAAGGAUGGGUCUGCGGCCUAUCAGGUAGUAGUGGGUGUAAUGUACCUACUAGCCGACAACGGGUACGGGUUGUGAGAGCAAGAGCCCGGAGAUGGAUUCUGAGACAUGAAUCCAGGCCCUACGGGGCGCAGCAGGCGCGAAAACUUUACAAUGCGGGAAACCGUGAUAAGGGGACACCGAGUGCCAGCAUCAUAUGCUGGCUGUCCGGGUGUGUAAAAUACACUCGUUAGCAGGGGCCGGGCAAGACCGGUGCCAGCCGCCGCGGUAACACCGGCGGCCCGAGUGGUGAUCGUGAUUAUUGGGUCUAAAGGGUCCGUAGCCGGUUUGGUCAGUCCUCCGGGAAAUCUGAUAGCUCAACUAUUAGGCUUUCGGGGGAUACUGCCAGACUUGGAACCGGGAGAGGUAAGAGGUACUACAGGGGUAGGAGUGAAAUCUUGUAAUCCCUGUGGGACCACCUGUGGCGAAGGCGUCUUACCAGAACGGGUUCGACGGUGAGGGACGAAAGCUGGGGGCACGAACCGGAUUAGAUACCCGGGUAGUCCCAGCCGUAAACGAUGCUCGCUAGGUGUCAGGCAUGGCGCGACCGUGUCUGGUGCCGCAGGGAAGCCGUGAAGCGAGCCACCUGGGAAGUACGGCCGCAAGGCUGAAACUUAA
Molecule: ribosomal RNA, 759 nt
Filed under: uncultured Methanosarcina sp.
Lineage: Archaea; Methanobacteriati; Methanobacteriota; Methanomicrobia; Methanosarcinales; Methanosarcinaceae
Description: bacterial SSU rRNA
Rfam family: Archaeal small subunit ribosomal RNA
Source: RNAcentral